AAUUCCUAUGAAAGGAGAGAGGGAUAGCACUCCCCUUGACAAAGAUGGAUGAAACUGUGCCUAACAACAAUGUGUGUGGCUGAAGGGGUGCCAUGUCCUUUCGGGCAUUUGAUGUAUGUGUGUGU
Molecule: small nuclear RNA, 125 nt
Organism: Grammomys surdaster
Lineage: Eukaryota; Metazoa; Chordata; Mammalia; Rodentia; Muridae
Source: RefSeq, a predicted model, not a curated record